RNAcentral lists this long non-coding RNA (7987 nucleotides) under Panax ginseng (ginseng). RNAcentral describes it as "long non-coding RNA (PGIN_LNC004853)". The record is from RNAcentral. Lineage: Eukaryota; Viridiplantae; Streptophyta; Magnoliopsida; Apiales; Araliaceae.
AAGGAGACUAAACUAAUAAAUUAUUAUUAUUUACCAAAUAUUCAAGCCCACCACCAAGGAAUCUGAUUUUAGCCACCAACCACAUGUUAAAGAUGCUCACCAACCUUUGAAAAACGUUUUUCUUGAAAAUAAUAAUUAAAAUUUCCAAAAAUCAAUUAUUUCGGAACUCCGAAACAUCAAUAAUUCACAAUAAAUAUCCCUUUUAUCAGAAAAUUCAAAUCUCGCGACUUUUUAUAGGAAUUUCAAUUCUCUACAACUUUGCAGAAGAAAAUUUUUCCAAAUUCCAAACAGAAAUUAUCCAAAAUCCACAAACGGGCAAUUUUACAGUCUAUAAUAAAUUUUCGGUCAAGAAUCGUGUCCACCGACACACAAAACAUAUGUUAAACAUUUAAUGCCACAAAAUACUCUACCUCCUCAUAUACUCAUAUAUCCCACAAUUAUUAUAAAAAUAUCACCGUUAAUAUAUUAUUAAAAUAAUAUAUUUAAAUGUAUUAUUUUAUCAGAAAAAGAUAAAAUAUUAAUUUUCAACAAUUGUCACAUUAAAAAUUUUCUCCAUCUAUAUCCACAUAAAAUAAAUAUUUUCUUUAUCAUAAUAAUCAAUAAUUAAUUAUUCAAAAAUAAUAUUACAGAAUCACAGUACUGACAACCAGGCCGUUCCCAGGAAAGAGGGGGCUUUCCAAUAAGGAUUUCUCCUUACUGGCGCGCAAUUAGGUGACCAAACCUCUCCUUAGACAGAACUUUCUAGACAUUGCCAAUAAUGUUAUCUGAUAAUAUUAUUCAAAUAAUAUGAAUUAUUGAUUUGAUAAUGGAAAAUACUGUGUAAUGACAAUUAUUGAAACAACAGCAAUACAAAAUAUCAACGCAGCAAUUAUUGAAUCAAUAAAAUAUAAUAUUGAACAGUAACUACUGUAACAAUUAUUGAGUAGUGCCUUCUUACGUAAGGAUCAAUAAUUCAAUAAUACUGUGCAAUACCGUGUGCUACUGUGCAACCACGCGUAUUACUGUAUUUUAACCACCAGGUAACCCAACAGUGUUAACGGUAACAAUUUACGUCGUUAUUUAUAAAACUCAAUCUUUGUCGUUUUCCUUCAUCCAACCGUUUUCCGUUAUGGGGCCCACCAAUGACUGCGCCGUCGUACGGAGAUUCCCGACAAAAAGAAUAUUCCACGACCAAACGAAUAUUCCCCGACAAUAAUGAAUAUUUUAUAACCACUUGCUUAUUUUGUAAACUUUGCACAUUUCACCCAUAACCAAAGAAUUAUAUCAAAUUAACCCUUAUUAAUUUAGAAUAAUGAAUAAAGGAAAAUUCAAUUUUAUUUAUAAUAAGUUGGGGUCUUACAACCUCCCCUCCUUAUGAAAUUUCGUCCUCGAAAUUGACGUACGUACCUGGUAUAUCGAAAAGGUGAGGGUACCUCGCUUUCAUCUCCGAUUCCAACUCCCAUGUCAUUUCCUCAAUUGCAUGGUUUCUCCACAAAACCUUAACUUGUGGUAUAACCUUCGUGCGUAAGACAUGCUCUUUCCUAUCCAAAAUCUCAACAGGUAUCUCCUCGUAGGUUAAAUCUUCAGCUAUCUCGUCUGGUUCUAAUGCAAUAAUGUGGUUCGGGUCUUUCACAUAUUUACGAAGCAUAGAUAUGUGGAAUACAUUGUGAACACGAGACAUACUUGGAGGUAACGCGAGUCUAUAGGCUACGUUUCCUAUUCGGUCAAGAAUCUCAAAUGGACCAACAAACCUUGGAUUGAGCUUUCCUCUUUUCCCAAAUCUUGUAACUCCUUUCCAUGGAGCAAUACGUAACAAUACAUGAUCUCCAAUAUUAAACUCCACGUCCUUUCUAUGAAGAUCAGCAUAACUCUUUUGUCGAUCUUGUGAAGUUUGAAUACGUUGUCGAAUCAUUUGGAUCUUUUCUGUAGUCAUGCGUACUAAUUCUGGUCCCAACAAUGUUGCUUCUCCCACCUCGUCCCAGCAUACUGGAGAACGACAUUUUCGUCCAUACAACGCCUCAAAUGGAGCCAUGCCUAUACUUGCUUGAUAACUGUUGUUGUAGGAGAAUUCCACCAGUGGUAGGUACUUAUCCCAACUUCCUUUGAAAUCUAGGACACAGAGUCUUAAUAGAUCUUCAAGGGUUUGAAUAGUCCUCUCUGAUUGUCCGUCCGUUUGAGGAUGGUAUGCUGAACUGAAUCGUAAAUCCGUGCCCAUAGCUUUCUGCAAGCUAACCCAAAAUCUUGAAGUGAAUCUCGGGUCACGAUCCGAAACUAUGGAUACUGGCAUGCCAUGCAAUCGUACAAUCUCAUUCACGUACAUACGAGCAAGACGUUCAAGGGGAUAAGUCUCGCGUAUCGGUAAGAAAUGGGCAGACUUGGUUAAUCUAUCAACAAUAACCCAAAUUGCAUCUACGCCUUGAGAAACUUUGGGAAGACCUGUAACAAAAUCCAUAGUAAUGUGUUCCCAUUUCCAUUCCGGAAUCUCAAGUGGUUGCAAUGGACCUUUUGGCACUUGAUGCUCCGCCUUUACACGUUGACAGGUUAAACAUCUUGAGAUAAACUCCGCAAUCUCUCUCUUCAUAUUGUUCCACCAAAAUGUAUGUCGAAUAUCAUGAUACAUUUUGGUACUCCCAGGAUGGAUUGCAAACGGGGUGUUGUGUGCCUCCAUCAUGAUUUUAUGCUUCAGGUCAGAAUCGUUAGGAACGCAAAGUCUAGAAUUGACUCGAAGUAUUCCUUCCUCAUCAAUUCUUGCUUCCGGAAUAGCUCCUUCUUGCACUUUCUUCUUCAUACGCAUCAGCCCCAGGUCCGUAGCUUGAGCAGCUUUAACUUUAUCGAUUAAAGUCGGUUCUACUUGUAUAUUCGCCAUCAUUAUGUGGGUCCCUGGAGUCUUUAAUUCUACCUCCAUCCUUUGCAAGUCAUACAAAAUGGGCCUUUGCGUUGACAAUAUCGCACUCGUACUUGCAUAUGAUCUUCUACUUAAUGCGUCAGCUACUACGUUCGCUUUUCCAGGAUGAUAUUGAAUAGUGUGAUCGUAAUCUUUUAACAGCUCCAGCCAACGUCGUUGCCGCAUGUUGAGUUCUUUUUGGGUGAAGAAAUAUUUGAGGCUUUUAUGAUCCGUAUAAAUCUCUACUUUCUCCCCGUACAAGUAGUGUCUCCAUAUCUUCAACGCAAACACGACUGCUGCCAACUCCAGAUCAUGAGUAGGAUAAUUCCUCUCAUAUUCUUUGAGUUGUCGUGAGGCAUAGGCUAUGACUUUCCCAUGUUGCAUGAGAACACAUCCUAACCCCUUGCCAGAAGCAUCGCUGUAGAUAACAAAUCCAUCUGAACCAGAUGGUAUUGUCAGAACAGGUGCCGAAAUGAGUCUCCUCUUGAGCUCUUGGAAGCUCUUCUCGCAUUCCUCGCUCCAUAAGAAUUUUGCAUCCUUCCGAGUCAGCUGAGUUAACGGAGUAGCGAUUCGAGAAAAUCCUUCCACAAAUCUCCGAUAAUAACCAGCUAAGCCCAGAAAGCUGCGUACUUCGGUCACCGACUUCGGUUGCUCCCAACUUUGUAUUGCUUCAAUCUUCGCCGGGUCAACAGAUACUCCUUGUUUUGACACCACGUGCCCAAGGAAUGCUACUUCCUCAAGCCAGAACUCGCAUUUCUUCAGCUUGGCAUAAAGCUUGUGUUCACGAAGUCUUUGUAGUACCAGCUUCAAAUGGUGCUCAUGAUCUUCACGGCUUUUGGAAUAGAUGAGGAUGUCAUCAAUAAAGACAACAACGAACUGAUCCAAAUAUUCCUUAAAUACACGGUUCAUCAUAUCCAUGAAAGCAGCAGGAGCAUUAGUCAAUCCAAAAGACAUGACCAAGAAUUCAUAAUGCCCGUAUCGAGUCCUGAAUGCCGUCUUUGGAAUAUCCUCAGUUUUAAUCUUCAGCUGAUGAUAUCCAGAACGAAGAUCGAUCUUUGAAAAGAAUUGCGCUCCUUGUAACUGGUCGAACAGGUCAUCAAUGCGAGGUAGCGGAUACCUAUUCUUGAUGGUGACAUGGUUCAAUUCUCGAUAGUCAAUACAAAGUCGCAUACUCCCGUCUUUCUUCUUUACGAAUAAAACAGGAGCACCCCAAGGAGACGUACUAGGACGAAUGAAACCGAUGUCUAAUAACUCCUGUAGUUGGACUUUUAACUCCUGAAGUUCAAUAGGAGCCAUUCGAUAUGGGGUUUUAGAAAUGGGCUUUGUACCCGGUUCAAGGUCAAUAAAGAAUUCAACAUCACGUUCUGGGGGUAGACCGGGAAGCUCUUCAGGAAAUACAUCAGGGAAUUCUCUAACCACAGAAAUAUUAUUCAAAUCUGACUUGUCUUUAUUCAAAUCCAUAACAUGGGCUAAGAAAGCUUGACAUCCGUUUUUCAAUAAACGAAUAGCUUUGUGGCUUGAUAUGACAGUGACUGAUUUUAGUGGUUUAGUGGUUUGAAUUCGUAUGACAGGUUGGUUAGGAAUAUGAAAACUAACAACCUUACGAAAACAAUCAAUUUUGGCAUGAUGAGUGGUUAACCAAUCAAUUCCUAAAAUCACAUCAAAAGCAAGUAUCUUUAAAGAGAUAAGAUCAACAGGUAAUGUGAUAGUGCCAACUUGGAUCAUGCAAGAUUUAUAAACUGUAGAUGUAACGAAGGUUUCACCCAACGGAGUUUCAACAGAUAAAUCAAAAUCUAAUUUCUCCGGAGUCAAGUUUAAACGUUGAGCACAAGCAGGAGAGAUAAAAGAAUGGGUAGAACCGGUAUCUAGUAAGGUAUAAACUUCGCAAGAAUUCAAGAUUAGCUUACCCGUGAUCACCUCGUUUGGGUUCCUCACGUUUUGUCCAGUCACGACAAACGCUCUUCCAGGAACCGCUGAUUUCGACUUAUCCGGGACAGCCCUUGGAAUCACCACUCCUGCUGAACUUGGUUUCGCGAUAGUACAAUCUCGAGCGAUGUGGCCUUCCUUUCCACAGUUGUAACAUACCUUGGAUUGUUGUGGACAGUUUGGGCUGAUAUGUCCCUCCUUCCCGCAUUUGUAACAUCUAACUGGCGGUCGUUCUCCUCCCCUAGCAUUUGUUGUUGGUGCUGGUGCUGCCGUUGAUAUCUUCCCGUCAUUGUUGAAUCUUCUCUUUCUGAAAUUUCCACUUGAGUCACCUCUCCUAUUAUCAUGUCCACGAUUACCACCUGAGUGGUUACCGCCUUUGUCCGUAUUCUUUCCUCCUCGCUGGUUAUCAUCGUUCUGAUGACUACCCUGAUUGUGGUCCCUCGGUUGAGUAUACUCACUAUCUCGCUCUAAUAACUGAGCCCUGUUGACAACAUCUGAAUACAGAGAAAAUUUAUGAGAGAUAAGGUAUUGACGAAUCUCUGGUUUUAGACCUCUCAGAAACAUACGCGUCAUUCGUUCCUCAUUCUCCACCAAAUGAGGUGCAAACCUGGAUAAUUCUGCGAACCUUGCCUCGUACUGAGACACCGUCAUGUUGUUCUGUUCGAGUCUAAUAAACUCUACCUCCUUCAUAUGACGAAUACUUUCUGGAAAGUACUUGUCAUUGAACAGUUUCUGAAAUCUUUCCCAAGACAUGUUAAGUGCAUCUGGCUGGGUACGCUUCACAGAUUCCCACCAGUAAUCUGCUUCACCACGAAACAUAAAGGUGGCGAAUGGAACCUUCUGUUCCUCCGUGCACCCCAAGACAUCGAAUAUCUUGGUAAUUUGCUUGACCCACGUUUCUGCCUUGAUCGGAUCCGGCUUUCCAUGGAAAUCUGGUGGUCCCAACUCCUUGAACUGCUUGGCUGUGACAGACCGUGCAUUGCCAUCAUUUCCACCCGUAUUUUGUACACGAGUCUCCCUUGUCUGAUUUUGCAUGAACUGCAAAAAGCUUCUAAACAUCCCGUCGUUCAUCAUUUGCUCAGUGGCGUUGUUCACAGGAGGAACAUUGCCAGCCUGUUGCACGUUCUCCUCGUUGGUGAGUACCGGCGUCUCCACGGUCUCAUAAACUCCAUUGUUAACGUUCUCAGCAGCCAUUCUUAAAUACUGCCAUAAAACAAGGGUUAAUUAAACAAAUUAACAUAUCACAUAAUAUCCUAUAUUAUGACCGACCAACAAAUAAGCUUAGGUAGGACACACUAGCGAAGGAUUUACUCGUCUCUCCCCUCCUAGUUCUAUUCCCCGAUCUCCGCCAGAGAUCAUAUCCCUAAGCUCUGAUACCAACUGUGACGCCCCCAAAAUAGGUAUACAACACCCAUUCUGAGUCGCCAAAAUACAUGGUAUAGAAAGCAAACUACAACUUUGACAAUACAGAUGUCGUGUAGAAUACGACAAUACAACUGUGAGUUUGAAUACAAAUAUUGUCUUCUAGACAAUAUACACACCCAAAUAAGUCCUCAUUAAUUAUUCAUACACUAUUUUACAGAAAUAGUGAGGACAGCUAAAACAUCUUCCUAGAACCAUCACUCCAUACCCCGACUCGAUCCUGCUAUGUUCUCACCUCCUGAGAAGAAAAAUGGAACAAAAAGGAAAAGGGUGAGCUCAACUAGCCCAGUAAAGAAUAUUAUGACUAAGAUAAUAUACAACAAAUUAUCGUUAGUCUUCAACAGGGAAAAAUCUAAUAGAAUACAAUAGACAACAAGUUUUAGAUCAACAAAUGCAGCGGAAACAGCAAUCCAUUAGAAGAGUCACGUAGAGAAAGAAUUCUACUGUCUUCUAAGGUUUAAAAGUCCAUCAUCAAUAGUUUAUCCCUGUAAUAACAAUCAAUAUACAUCUUUAAUCAUCUUUGCACUACAGGCCAAAGAUAUUCAUUUGUAUCACCAGUUGGUCAUGUUCAUCUCAACACCUGUUCAUCUUUGCACUACAGGCCAAAGAUAUUCAUCAGUUAAUCGUUCAUCUUUGCACUACAGGCCAAAGAUAUUCAUUUAUAUCACCAUUUAGGACUGAGGAUGAUGAAAAACAUUUUUAAAGAAACGAAUCCAGUGAAACAAAAUGACAAGGAUUAAGGAUUAAGGAUUCGUACUUUGUUUUACCCAUGUCCAAAAAUACUUCGAAAAUAAUCAUAUUGGUGUAAAAUUCAAGAAUGAUCAAAACAUGGAUACAAUCAAAGCUAGUAUCCAGAAUAGAUAUUUUGGACAAAAAGAAAAAUUUUUAUUUUUCGGUGAAUAGUGCCGUAUUCGUGAAUAGUGUCGUAUACGUGAAUAGUGCCGUAUACGUGAAUAGUAACCCCGACACAACAAGUUCCAAAUUUGAUAAAAAAGUUCACCAAUACUUCGGCAUAAUGAUAUUGAAGAAAAAAUAUCAUUUAAGAAGAAAAUAAUACCCCUUACCUCAAAAUAACCGUACUUCUGACUGAAUUUCGGUAUAGUGCUGACAGAAACCCGCACCGUAUAGCAACACUCAAAGUAUACUCACAAGAAUACGCUCGAUAAUUUAGAGAGAGAAAGAGAGAAAACUUAGUUUCUGGUGUGAUUUUCAAUUCUAACUUAGCCCUCUAUUUAUAGGAAAAUGUUAGAACGCCAAAGGAGACUAAAUUAAUAAAUUAUUAUUAUUUAAAAUUACAUUUCUACGCAUGCCAUUUGAACACUUCAGCCACCAGCCAACCUUGACCCAAUUUCCAGCAGCCCACAUGUUCAAACAAGAGUGGGUCCCACCCAUUAUUUAAUAAAAAUUAUUUUAUCUUCCGAAACUUCAAUAAUUCGUAGAAAAUAGCUCGUUUAUCAGAAAAAUUCGAAACUCGCGACUUUCCAUGGGAAAUUCCAUUCUCUACAACUUUGCAGAAGAAAAUUUUUCCAAAUUCCAAACAGAAAUUGACCGAAAUCCAUAAACGGACGAUUUUACAGUCUAUAAUCAAUUUUCGGUCAAGAAUUGUGUCCACCGACACACAAAACAUAUGUUAAACAUUUAAUGCCACAAAAUACUCUACCUCCUCAUAUACUCAUAUAUCCCACAUUCAUUAUAAAAAUAUCACCGUUAAUAUAUUAUUAAAAUAAUAUAUUUAAAUGAAUUAUUUUAUCAGAAAAAGAUAAAAUAUUAAUUUUC